GUGCCUACAUUGAAGUGGCAGCCCUGGGACAGUGGCAGCAAUUGGGUGACCAGCAGAGGGGGUCAGACUGCAGGAAAUCUCAUGAGGAUGUGGCUUUUUGAGGUAUUUUAAGAAUGCAGACUGGAAGCACUGCUGCUGCUCUUUGCUUCACCUUAAUGAGGCUCCGUGGAGACCACGAGAAGAUGGAAGGAAAUAAAGAUUCCUGACAAAAGGAAUGUAAAUAGACAAGAUGCAGGUGAACAAAGGAGAAGGAAAGCCAUGUAGAAGCCAGCAACUGAGUGUUUAUUCUCGAACUAUGCCUAGAAAUUGUGCCUUGUUACUGUUGCUUCAUACUAGUGGUUUUUUUAUAAGUCUGGCAAAAUGAGGACGUUCAAAACUUUCCUGCAAGCUCUUAAAAGAAGAAAUCUUCUAAGAAUACUCAGAGUUUCAAUCCUGGCAUGUAUUUUGGAAGAGAUAAUAAAUCAUAUUUCUCGGUGAACUUUCCUAGACAACCCCUAAGCAUGCAAUUCUUGCACUUUUACAUGCAGCCUAAUGGGAGACAGAAGAUAGACUAGCUGCAUCGCUGCUGGAUCCUGAGUGAAUUUUAAUCCCAGUAAA
Molecule: long non-coding RNA, 597 nt
Organism: Colius striatus (speckled mousebird)
Lineage: Eukaryota; Metazoa; Chordata; Aves; Coliiformes; Coliidae
Exons: 3
Source: RefSeq, a predicted model, not a curated record